CGUAGGCGGUCUUCUGUCGACUUCAAUAGCGUUUUGGGUUUUGUAAAGCCCUACAUUGCGUAACGGUGACUAAACCAUCCCCUUUAGCGCAUCCCCUAAUGUUCCCCAUUAGGGGAAGAACUAGAGGGGAUGGAUUUCUUGCAUACAUUUGUUAACAAGCACGUGAUGCCCUUGUUUUCGCGCACCGGGUCAAGGUAGGUGGUCAGUAUGUGUCACAUGCUCGUGACAGCGGCGGAUGAGCGG
Molecule: long non-coding RNA, 243 nt
Filed under: Volvox carteri
Lineage: Eukaryota; Viridiplantae; Chlorophyta; Chlorophyceae; Chlamydomonadales; Volvocaceae
Description: long non-coding RNA (VCAR_LNC001504)
Source: RNAcentral